UGAGUCCUAGUUUCGUGGCACUAUAGCCGGGUUCCGGCUGUAUCCGCUGCCAUCCUCCCCCAGGCACGGCCUCGGAGGACUUCCUGCUCCGCCUGGCGCUAGGAGAGCCCCACUCGGUGUGGCACGGAGCCGAAAGGAAAGAAGGCCAAGGGAAAGAAGGUGGCUCCGGCCCCUGCUGUCGUGAAGAAGCAGGAGGCUAAGAAAGUGGUGAAUCCCCUGUUUGAGAAAAGGCCUAAGAAUUUUGGCAUUGGACAGGACAUCCAGCCCAAAAGAGACCUCACCCGCUUUGUGAAAUGGCCCCGCUAUAUCAGGUUGCAGCGGCAGAGAGCCAUCCUCUAUAAGCGGCUGAAAGUGCCUCCUGCGAUUAACCAGUUCACCCAGGCCCUGGACCGCCAAACAGCUACUCAGCUGCUUAAGCUGGCCCACAAGUACAGACCAGAGACAAAGCAAGAGAAGAAGCAGAGACUGUUGGCCCGGGCCGAGAAGAAAGCUGCUGGCAAAGGGGACGUCCCCACGAAGAGACCACCUGUCCUUCGAGCAGGAGUUAACACCGUCACCACCUUGGUGGAGAACAAGAAAGCUCAGCUGGUGGUGAUUGCACACGACGUGGAUCCCAUCGAGCUGGUUGUCUUCUUGCCUGCCCUGUGUCGUAAAAUGGGGGUCCCUUACUGCAUUAUCAAGGGGAAGGCAAGACUGGGACGUCUAGUCCACAGGAAGACUUGCACCACUGUGGCCUUCACACAGGUGAACUCUGAAGACAAAGGCGCUUUGGCUAAGCUGGUGGAAGCUAUCAGGACCAAUUACAACGACAGAUAUGAUGAGAUCCGCCGUCACUGGGGCGGCAACAUCCUGGGUCCUAAGUCUGUGGCUCGUAUCGCCAAGCUCGAAAAGGCAAAGGCUAAAGAACUUGCCACUAAACUGGGUUAAAUGUAC
Molecule: small RNA, 933 nt
Filed under: Pongo abelii (Sumatran orangutan)
Lineage: Eukaryota; Metazoa; Chordata; Mammalia; Primates; Hominidae
Description: processed transcript
Source: RNAcentral